AUGCUCACUUCAGCAGCAUAUAUUCUAAAAUUAGAACAAUACAGAGAUAAGUAUGAUCCCUGUAGAAUGACAUACAAAUUCAUGAAGCAUUUCAUAUUUUU
This 101-nucleotide small nuclear RNA is filed under the name Sciurus vulgaris (Eurasian red squirrel). The record is from RNAcentral. Lineage: Eukaryota; Metazoa; Chordata; Mammalia; Rodentia; Sciuridae.